AGCGUACACGGUGGAUGCCCUGGCAGUCAGAGGCGAUGAAGGACGUGCUAAUCUGCGAUAAGCGUCGGUAAGGUGAUAUGAACCGUUAUAACCGGCGAUUUCCGAAUGGGGAAACCCAGUGUGUUUCGACACACUAUCAUUAACUGAAUCCAUAGGUUAAUGAGGCGAACCGGGGGAACUGAAACAUCUAAGUACCCCGAGGAAAAGAAAUCAACCGAGAUUCCCCCAGUAGCGGCGAGCGAACGGGGAGCAGCCCAGAGCCUGAAUCAGUGUGUGUGUUAGUGGAAGCGUCUGGAAAGGCGCGCGAUACAGGGUGACAGCCCCGUACACAAAAAUGCACAUAUUGUGAGCUCGAUGAGUAGGGCGGGACACGUGGUAUCCUGUCUGAAUAUGGGGGGACCAUCCUCCAAGGCUAAAUACUCCUGACUGACCGAUAGUGAACCAGUACCGUGAGGGAAAGGCGAAAAGAACCCCGGCGAGGGGAGUGAAAAAGAACCUGAAACCGUGUACGUACAAGCAGUGGGAGCACGCUUAGGCGUGUGACUGCGUACCUUUUGUAUAAUGGGUCAGCGACUUAUAUUCUGUAGCAAGGUUAACCGAAUAGGGGAGCCGAAGGGAAACCGAGUCUUAACUGGGCGUUAAGUUGCAGGGUAUAGACCCGAAACCCGGUGAUCUAGCCAUGGGCAGGUUGAAGGUUGGGUAACACUAACUGGAGGACCGAACCGACUAAUGUUGAAAAAUUAGCGGAUGACUUGUGGCUGGGGGUGAAAGGCCAAUCAAACCGGGAGAUAGCUGGUUCUCCCCGAAAGCUAUUUAGGUAGCGCCUCGUGAAUUCAUCUCCGGGGGUAGAGCACUGUUUCGGCAAGGGGGUCAUCCCGACUUACCAACCCGAUGCAAACUGCGAAUACCGGAGAAUGUUAUCACGGGAGACACACGGCGGGUGCUAACGUCCGUCGUGAAGAGGGAAACAACCCAGACCGCCAGCUAAGGUCCCAAAGUCAUGGUUAAGUGGGAAACGAUGUGGGAAGGCCCAGACAGCCAGGAUGUUGGCUUAGAAGCAGCCAUCAUUUAAAGAAAGCGUAAUAGCUCACUGGUCGAGUCGGCCUGCGCGGAAGAUGUAACGGGGCUAAACCAUGCACCGAAGCUGCGGCAGCGACGCUUAUGCGUUGUUGGGUAGGGGAGCGUUCUGUAAGCCUGUGAAGGUGUGCUGUGAGGCAUGCUGGAGGUAUCAGAAGUGCGAAUGCUGACAUAAGUAACGAUAAAGCGGGUGAAAAGCCCGCUCGCCGGAAGACCAAGGGUUCCUGUCCAACGUUAAUCGGGGCAGGGUGAGUCGACCCCUAAGGCGAGGCCGAAAGGCGUAGUCGAUGGGAAACAGGUUAAUAUUCCUGUACUUGGUGUUACUGCGAAGGGGGGACGGAGAAGGCUAUGUUGGCCGGGCGACGGUUGUCCCGGUUUAAGCGUGUAGGCUGGUUUUCCAGGCAAAUCCGGAAAAUCAAGGCUGAGGCGUGAUGACGAGGCACUACGGUGCUGAAGCAACAAAUGCCCUGCUUCCAGGAAAAGCCUCUAAGCAUCAGGUAACAUCAAAUCGUACCCCAAACCGACACAGGUGGUCAGGUAGAGAAUACCAAGGCGCUUGAGAGAACUCGGGUGAAGGAACUAGGCAAAAUGGUGCCGUAACUUCGGGAGAAGGCACGCUGAUAUGUAGGUGAAGUCCCUUGCGGAUGGAGCUGAAAUCAGUCGAAGAUACCAGCUGGCUGCAACUGUUUAUUAAAAACACAGCACUGUGCAAACACGAAAGUGGACGUAUACGGUGUGACGCCUGCCCGGUGCCGGAAGGUUAAUUGAUGGGGUCAGCGCAAGCGAAGCUCUUGAUCGAAGCCCCGGUAAACGGCGGCCGUAACUAUAACGGUCCUAAGGUAGCGAAAUUCCUUGUCGGGUAAGUUCCGACCUGCACGAAUGGCGUAAUGAUGGCCAGGCUGUCUCCACCCGAGACUCAGUGAAAUUGAACUCGCUGUGAAGAUGCAGUGUACCCGCGGCAAGACGGAAAGACCCCGUGAACCUUUACUAUAGCUUGACACUGAACAUUGAGCCUUGAUGUGUAGGAUAGGUGGGAGGCUUUGAAGUGUGGACGCCAGUCUGCAUGGAGCCGACCUUGAAAUACCACCCUUUAAUGUUUGAUGUUCUAACGUUGACCCCUAAUCGGGGUUGCGGACAGUGUCUGGUGGGUAGUUUGACUGGGGCGGUCUCCUCCUAAAGAGUAACGGAGGAGCACGAAGGUUGGCUAAUCCUGGUCGGACAUCAGGAGGUUAGUGCAAUGGCAUAAGCCAGCUUGACUGCGAGCGUGACGGCGCGAGCAGGUGCGAAAGCAGGUCAUAGUGAUCCGGUGGUUCUGAAUGGAAGGGCCAUCGCUCAACGGAUAAAAGGUACUCCGGGGAUAACAGGCUGAUACCGCCCAAGAGUUCAUAUCGACGGCGGUGUUUGGCACCUCGAUGUCGGCUCAUCACAUCCUGGGGCUGAAGUAGGUCCCAAGGGUAUGGCUGUUCGCCAUUUAAAGUGGUACGCGAGCUGGGUUUAGAACGUCGUGAGACAGUUCGGUCCCUAUCUGCCGUGGGCGCUGGAGAACUGAGGGGGGCUGCUCCUAGUACGAGAGGACCGGAGUGGACGCAUCACUGGUGUUCGGGUUGUCAUGCCAAUGGCACUGCCCGGUAGCUAAAUGCGGAAGAGAUAAGUGCUGAAAGCAUCUAAGCACGAAACUUGCCCCGAGAUGAGUUCU
This 2773-nucleotide ribosomal RNA is filed under the name Escherichia coli. RNAcentral describes it as "bacterial LSU rRNA". It matches the Rfam family "Bacterial large subunit ribosomal RNA". Lineage: Bacteria; Pseudomonadati; Pseudomonadota; Gammaproteobacteria; Enterobacterales; Enterobacteriaceae. The record is from RNAcentral.